CCAGAGAGUAAGGAUGACGACGACGACAUCUCCUCAAAUUGCCUGAGACAUUUAAGGUCUAUUAUAUACUCAAAAUAACAUGAUAGCAGGUUCUAAUUUAGGAAAAAAAAGGCAAUAUGUUCUAAUCAGUAACCAGUAGUUGCAGUUGCAGCUCUAGAUCUCUAAUGUCAUGCUACUAAACAAGAACAGGGCAGGGGGAUAUCGAAACUCACCCAAGCAGUACCAAGCUAGCAGCCCUAGAUCUCUAAUGUGAUGCUAGUAUGCUACUAUACAAGAACAGGGCAGGUGGAUAUCGAAACUCACCCAAGCUAGCAGCUCCGUUGCAGGCGGCCUGGGGCAGCUCCUCAAGUCCUCGUCGCUGCUGCGCGGGGGUUCCCUGCUGCGGUCGCGGGUGGUCGUCGCCGGCGAUGGCGGAGGCUGAUCUCGCAGGAGCUCCUCGUCGCGGGGAGGUCGGGCGCACCUCUUCAUUGCCGUCACGGGGGGCUCCCGGUGGGCAUGGCUCCUCGUCGCCGUGAGGCGGCGGCUGGUCGCCGGCAUGCGGCGGC
This 545-nucleotide long non-coding RNA is filed under the name Setaria italica (foxtail millet). Its description in RNAcentral is "long non-coding RNA (SITA_LNC006748)". The record is from RNAcentral. Lineage: Eukaryota; Viridiplantae; Streptophyta; Magnoliopsida; Poales; Poaceae.